CCCUUAGACGUUCUGGGCCGCACGCGCGCUACACUGACGGAGCCAGCGAGUAUAAACCUUGGCCGAGAGGUCUGGGAAAUCUUGUGAAACUCCGUCGUGCUGGGGAUAGAGCAUUGUAAUUAUUGCUCUUCAACGAGGAAUUCCUAGUAAGCGCAAGUCAUCAGCUUGCGUUGAUUACGUCCCUGCCCUUUGUACACACCGCCUGUCGCUACUACCGAUUGAAUGGCUUAGUGAGGCUUCCGGAUUGGUUUAGAGAAGGGGGCAACUCCAUCUUGGAACCGAGAAGCUAGUCAAACUUGGUCAUUUAGAGGAAGUAAAAGUCGUAACA
Molecule: ribosomal RNA, 328 nt
Filed under: uncultured eukaryote
Lineage: Eukaryota
Description: partial 18S ribosomal RNA
Rfam family: Eukaryotic small subunit ribosomal RNA
Source: RNAcentral